Molecule: long non-coding RNA, 4407 nt
Organism: Parus major (Great Tit)
Lineage: Eukaryota; Metazoa; Chordata; Aves; Passeriformes; Paridae
Exons: 3
Source: RefSeq, a predicted model, not a curated record
CUCUGUGUCCAGCAUCAGGACUGGCUGUUUGUACCCAGAGUGUUCCUCAGUUGUGGUGCUUCCUGCAACUGCCUGAGCUGCCUCCAUAGACUCCCUGCAUGUGUGUGUGUACAGGCUUGUACUUGGAUCACGAACAUUGGGCUGUGCUAACUCAUCCAGCUCUAAGGAAAAAAAUAUCAUAUUCUUUGGUGGAGUCUAAAAUGAAAUUAAUUCAGCUCCUGGAAUAGUACUUAAAAGGUGUUUUUCUGUGGGCUUGUUUAAUGAACAGCUGCUUCCUAUUAAGGGAAGGGUAGAUCCUCUUUCUACGUUUUACAAAGGAAACUUAGGAUUAAUUAAAUUAAUUAUUCUACAUGGUAAUUAGUAGCCCUUGGAAUUUUCCACAUCCCUACAAGUUUGCAAGUCAGUUAUCAAGCUCACAAACAUAAGCUCUCUCUGCUUUCCUUGUCAUCUGUUUCAAAGCAAAAGCUGAGUUAAUUCUUAUCGCUCACUCUGCAAACAGAAGGAAAAGCAGGUGCCAUUUGGAAAGGCUGAAAUUAAGUAGAGUGGGGACUUUGGAGACCGAAGACCUCAGGAGGUUCUGUUCAAGCUUCAGGCCACAGUGAGGCAAAAGGGGUAUGCGUGGGAAGGAACUGCACAGCGUUCACAUUAUUUGACCCUAUACUCAAAGGCAUCACAACUCAGUGUUUAAUCAGAAACAUUGAAGCUUCUCAGUCUCCCUGUAAAAUGUUAUUUGAAAACCCUGUAAGAGUAUAAGUUUGAGCAGUGGGAUUGGCUCCAUCUCCUGGGCAGGUCUCACAGGCUCUUUUGGAGCCUGAGAUUGUCCCAGGGAAUACUGAGAAGGCAAGUGCUGAAGGGAAAACAGCUGUAAAUCCAACUGUCUUUUACAGGGCCUUGCUUGAAAAUGAGAAUUUUUUCAGAGAUUGUCUUGUUGUCUUGUUUCUGUGGGCUCACCGGUAUCAGUUCUUUCUCUCCCCACCACCAAAACAAGUGAGAAGUUAUCUAAACUUAAGUUUGACUAUAACAAAAACCAGGUUUGAUCUGAACUGCAUUUAGACAAAUUGAAUGCCCUUGUAUUAAUUAAUUAAUUAAUUGAAACACUAUUAAUUUUUAGAGAUUCAUUUAAAUUUUUAGAGAUCCCCUAAUAUUGUGUUUUUUAAAGAAAAAAUUCCUGUGUUUGUCUACCAUGGAGAAGGUCCCCCACAGGAAAGAAGCAGCCCUUAGAAGACCUCUACUUACACAGUCCUCUGGACAAAAAAAAAUAAUCUGGAAGGGGGGCAGGGAAGGUGCUCUCUAUUUCAAAGGAUUUUCUAUUAUUUUCAUCUCCUUCUUUCCUUCCUAUUUUUUCUGUGUGAUUUUCUUUGUUCUCUGUAAUGCCACUUCCUUAAGGUCAAUCUAUUGUUAUCCUGGAGUCUGAUUGAGAUAUCAGGCUGAGUCAUGCAAUGUUUGCCAACUCCACACCUUUCAGCAAUCUGACAUAGAGAGUGGAGGUAAAAUAGCUGUUUGUGAUUAUUACUGCUUCCUAAAUAAAGGCUGUUUUUAAAAAAAGAAAAUGAGCUAGAAAAGGAGCUGUUAAGAAAAUUAACUUUUCAAUGCAUUUUCUUAGAGUUUUCAUAAGCCUGUAAUGAAACUGCAGCUGUCCAGGGCCAGCAGCAUUCACAAAUAAUACCAUAGCAUUACAGGCAUGUGAGUUUAAGAGAGAGAACAGAAUGAAUUUAACGCAUAUAUUAAAUCCACUGAGGAUGCAGAAUAAGAAUCAAUAAGAGAAAAGAAUUUAAAAAUUCUGAGAGAUUACUGAAAAUCUAUCUUUCAUUUCAGAAAUAAAAUUUUACACUAACAACAUGCAAGAAACCCCACACCAAAUCCUUACCCAGAGAAGAAAAAGACUACACAAAGCCUAGCUUGUGUGAAUCAUAUCUACUGUGAGCCAUUAUUUGAGACACUAACCCUAAUUUUGUUUGCAGCAAUCUUGUAUCCCAAAUUAUUUUGCAUUUCCUUUAAACAGUUUCUAACAACUGCAUGAAACACCCAUAUUGCAGCCCAAAUGCUCAAAAGGGGCAUCCUGAGAUAGUUGCACAUGUGGUGGUGAGGUACAUGUUGAUUCAAAAUUUUUCCACCCAACUGAUAUUAUUGAAACUGUUAGAAAAAAAUAAAUUUCUGAUAAGGAAAAAUGCUGCUGAUCUGAUUGUGAAUGAACUAAAGCUCUGGCUAGAUACAUAGGCAUAUGUUUACUUUUGUUACCUUACAUCUACAAAGCAAAUUUUGAUAACUAAACCCAAACAGGAUUCUAUUUUUCUUUUCCCUUCCCUUUUGGAUUUGCCCUUGCAGUCAUUGCUCAAAAUUCCCUCCUCCAGUCCCUGAUGUAUCACAGGUGCCAGAGAUGCAGCUUUCAGGCUGUCCCUCCCUUAGUUUUUUAGGUGAUGUUUGUAAGCACACCUUUGCUGGGGAGGGGAGCAGUAGGAAUAACUGUACUUAAAAGUGACUGUUUUCAAACUGUGUGAAUUCUGGUAUCAUGAGAGGAAAAACACUGAUCUAACUCUUCAGCCCGCAUCUCUGGCAUCUUGAGACUUUGGUAAAUUUAAGAAUAGUUCUUUCAAAAUAUGUAGGUUCAGACUACCUGCGUCACUGUUUCUAUAAAAAGAUCGCUAUAACUAAUGAUUUGCCCAAAUGGUCACAUUGACCCUGCUGUGCCAUGUGUUGUUGUCAUGGUGAUGCUGUUGUGGGUGUUGUCUGAACAGGAAGUGGAUGAGGCCUUCUGGAGGCAGCUUGAAGCAGACUCAAAGUCACAGGAACUGGUUCUUGUGGGGACUUUAGGUACCCUGAUAUCUGCUGGAGAAGCAACAGAGUGAAACAAAUAGUCUGUGAGGUUCCUGGAAAGAACUGAUGACAGAUUCUUGUCAUAGGUAGUCAUGGACCCCAGAAAGAAUGGUUUGCUGCUCAGCCUCAUACUAACAAACAGGAAAGGCCUCACUGGAGAUGUGAAGGUUGUGGGGCAGCCUUGGCUGAAACAGCUGUAACAUUGUGGAGUUCAGUAUCAGUCAGGGAGGAGGCAGGAUGGCACAUAGAGAUUGCAGCCAUGGACUUCAGGUGAGAUAACUCUAUUCUCUUCAGGGAUCUUCUUGGAAAAAUCCCAUGACAACAGGCCAUGCAGGGAAGAGGGAUCCAAGAGAGUUGGAUGAUUAUUAAGGACCACUUCCAGGCUUAAAAAAGAUGCAUCCCAAUGAGCAAGAAAUCAGGUAAAGGAGGAAAGAGACCUGUGUGGAUGAAUAAAGAUCUUCUGUUGUUAUUCAGGUGUAAGCAGGAAACACACAGGAGAUGGAAGCAGGUCAGGCAACUUGGAAUGAAUACAAAGAGGUUGUCAGAGUAAGUAGAAAUGAGACAAGGAAGGCCAAGGCCCAUCUGGAAUUUAACCUGGCCAAGGACAUCCAGGAGAACAAGGAGAGCUUUCUCAAACAUAUCAAUAGCAAAAGGAAAAGUAAGGAUAAUGUGGGUCCAUUACUAAAUGGAGGAGAGAGCCCUGGUAACAGAGUGCAGAGACCGCAGAGUUACUAAAUGCCUUUUUUGUAUUGGUCUUCAUGGGCAAGACCAACACUAAGGAUCUCUGGCACAAGAGAUCAGGACAAAGGGAUGUUGAAAAAACCUUUGUCAAAGAGGAUUGGGUUAGAGAGCACCUAGACAAAACUGAAAUACACAAGUCCAUGACCCCUGAUGGGAUCCAUUCAUGAGUGCUGGUGGACAGGCAUAGUGAGGUUCUCACAAUCAUCUUUGAAAAGUCAUGUCAAUCAAGAGUGAUACCUGAGGGCAGGAAUAAAGCAGAUGUUAGCCCAGGCUUCAAAAGGAGCAAGAAGGAAGAUCCAGGGAACUACUGGAUCAGUCACCUCUCUUUAUCCCCUGGAAACAUGAUGGAAUGCCUCUUUCUGGAGGCAAUUUCUAUUACAAAAGUGUGAUCAGGAGUAGUCAGCAUGGAUUAACUAAGAGUAAACCAUACUUGGCCAGCCUGAUUGCCUUCUAUGAUGAGCAACUACCAGGAUGGAUGAGGGGAGAGCAGUGGAUAUUGUCUACGUUGACUUCAAGACUUCUGACAUUGUCACUCACAACAUCCUCACAGGCAAAUGCUGGAAGUGUGGAGUAGGUGAGUGGACAAAGAGGUGAUUUGAGAACUGGCUCAGAUCCCAGAGGGUUGGGACAGCAGAUCCCAGAGGGUUGUAAUCAGUGGCACAAGGUCUAGCUGGAGGCCUGUCACUGGUGGUGAUCCCCAAGGUUCAGUACUGGGCUCGAUAUUGUUUAACUUUUUACCAAUAGCUUGGAUGAAGGGGCAGAGGCCUCCUCAGCAAGUUCUCUGAUGAUACAAAGCUGGGAGGAGGGGUUGAUACUCCAGAGUUCUGUGCAGCCCUUCAGAAGGACCUUGAC